AACGGAGGGUGCAAGCGUUGUUCGGAAUUACUGGGCGUAAAGCGCGUGCAGGUGGUUUUUUAAGUUUCGUGUGAAAGCCCACAGCUUAACUGUGGAAGUGCACGGAAAACUGGAAAGCUAGAGUACGGGAGAAGAGGGCGGAAUUCCCAGUGUAGAGGUGAAAUUCGUAGAUAUUGGGAGGAACAUCGGCGGCGAAAGCGGCUCUCUAGACCGAUACUGACACUCAUACGCGAGAGCGUGGGUAUCAAACAGG
Molecule: ribosomal RNA, 253 nt
Filed under: uncultured bacterium
Lineage: Bacteria
Description: partial 16S ribosomal RNA
Rfam family: Bacterial small subunit ribosomal RNA
Source: RNAcentral